This 484-nucleotide ribosomal RNA is filed under the name uncultured bacterium. RNAcentral's name for it is "partial 16S ribosomal RNA". It matches the Rfam family "Bacterial small subunit ribosomal RNA", at positions 30 to 507 of the family's 1533-position model. The record is from RNAcentral.
AUUGAACGCUGGCGGCAUGCCUAACACAUGCAAGUCGAGCGGAUGAAGGGAGCUUGCUCCUGGAUUCAGCGGCGGACGGGUGAGUAAUGCCUAGGAACCUGCCUGGUAGUGGGGGAUAACGUCCGGAAACGGGCGCUAAUACCGCAUACGUCCUGAGGGAGAAAGUGGGGGAUCUUCGGACCUCACGCUAUCAGAUCAGCCUAGGUCUGAUUAGCUAGUUGGUGGGGUAAAGGCCUACCAAGGCGACGAUCCGUAACUGGUCUGAGAGGAUGAUCAGUCACACUGGAACGGAGACAAGGUCCAGACGACUACGAGAGGAAGCAGUGGGGAAUAUUGGACGAUGGGCGAAAGACUGAUCCAGCAAUGACGCGUGUGUGAAGAAGGUCUUCGGAUUGUAAUGAACUUUAAGUUGGGAGGAAGGGAAGUAAGUUAAUAACUUGCUGUUUUGACGUUACCAACAGAAUAAGAACCGGCUAACUUCGUG